Molecule: ribosomal RNA, 447 nt
Filed under: uncultured bacterium
Lineage: Bacteria
Description: bacterial SSU rRNA
Rfam family: Bacterial small subunit ribosomal RNA
Source: RNAcentral
UGGGGAAUAUUGGACAAUGGGCGCAAGCCUGAUCCAGCCAUGCCGCGUGAGUGAUGAAGGCCUUAGGGUUGUAAUGCUCUUUUGGCGGGGACGAUAAUGACGGUACCCGCAGAAUAAGCCCCGGCUAACUUCGUGCCAGCAGCCGCGGUAAUACGAAGGGGGCUAGCGUUGUUCGGAAUUACUGGGCGUAAAGCGCACGUAGGCGGAUCAGCAAGUCAGGGGUGAAAUCCCGGGGCUCAACCUCGGAACUGCCUUUGAUACUGGCAAUCUAGAGUCCGGAAGAGGUUAGUGGAAUUCCCAGUGUAGAGGUGAAAUGCGUAGAUAUCGGAAGGAACAUCGGUGGCGAAGGCGUCUACCUGGCCUAAUACUGACACUGAGGCACGAAAGCGUGGGGAGCAAACAGGAUUAGAUACCCGUGUAGUCCCUGAGCGGGCUGGCAAGGCGCAU